UACGUAGGGUGCAAGCGUUGUUCGGAAUUACUGGGCGUAAAGGGCGCGUAGGCGGCCUGCUAAGUCGAACGUGAAGUCCCUGGGCUCAACCCAGGAACUGCGUCCGAUACUGGCAGGCUUGAAUCCGGGAGAGGGAUGCGGAAUUCCAGGUGUAGCGGUGAAAUGCGUAGAUAUCUGGAGGAACACCGGUGGCGAAGGCGGCAUCCUGGACCGGCAUUGACGCUGAGGCGCGAAAGCUAGGGGAGCAAACGGG
RNAcentral lists this ribosomal RNA (253 nucleotides) under uncultured bacterium. Its description in RNAcentral is "partial 16S ribosomal RNA". It matches the Rfam family "Bacterial small subunit ribosomal RNA", at positions 524 to 776 of the family's 1533-position model. The record is from RNAcentral.